ACCUGUUUGUUGCAGGAUUCAGUCGGCUGAGACAUCACUUUUGGGGAACAUUGAAGAAGAGAUCCAGUGUUGAAUUAGUCAUGUCUAAUGAAAUGCACUGAUAUAUGAUAAAUACCUAGCAUAUGGGCACACAACAAAUGCACCAUUCAUGCCCACUCUUUCCAGAAGGCACAUUGACAGUUCUCGUCUUUACUCACUGCCUGAACCUUUCCUUACCCUUUGACCAAACCUAACCACUUCUUACCUUUUUCUUUUGUUUUGCUUUGUUUUUCUGCAUCUCUAGGUAUUUGCCUCUGUUGCUCCCUUUGCCUGGAAGCUUACCUAGUCCCAUCCAUGCCUUUGGAAAUCACGCGAAAAUGCUUCGAGCUGGAUCCCACGUGUCAUCACCUCAACAAAAGCCUUUCCCUGAGCUGUUUAACCGACCGUGCUUCCUCAAAACAGUACCAUGAGAUCAUGACCUGAGCUGAGAUCAAGAGCUGGACGCUUAACCGACUGAGCUGCCCAGGUGCCCCAUAAAUCCAGUACUCUUAACCAGAUUAACCUUUCUGAACACAACGACCCAAGCAGACACUUCCAAUCAGUGGCGAUUGUCAAGGUAAUUGACACUUAUUUUCCUUCUU
Molecule: long non-coding RNA, 620 nt
Filed under: Felis catus (domestic cat)
Lineage: Eukaryota; Metazoa; Chordata; Mammalia; Carnivora; Felidae
Description: lncRNA (ENSFCAG00000045601.2)
Source: RNAcentral